AAAUAGUCCUUAACUGUUACAGCAAAAUUAACCUUACAAUACUUAUUGAAAUCCUUUAGAAUAAACCAUAAGCAUCAGAAAGUGAGAAAUCUGGUUUUUUAUAACCUGUGCUCCAGUUUGUAAGCUCAAAACCUAAGGAAAUGGGUAAGGCUGGAACAUGAAAAUGUUUUUUAUCAAAAUUGCAUAAGAAAAAUGAGAAGGGAUUCUCUAAGGCCCUACUGUCCUAGAACUCUGCAGAUGAGGCUGACCUGGAACUCAAAGAUCCACCUGCUUCUGACUCCCAAGUACUGAGAUCAAAGGUGUGAACUACUAUAAUCCCACCAAAUCAAUUCCUAAAAAUGAAGAAGUUACAAUGAAGACAUUAUAAUGGAAGAAGAACAGGAAGGCAGCUGACUCACAUGACUACAUCCAAAGAGGGGAUAUAAAAAUCUAUUGGACUUUGGCAGUCUCCUUAGCAUAAAAGAUGGCUAACCAGAAUGUGUUGUUGAAGGAUGUCUUUUGAGAUCUAAAUAUUAUAAUGACUGUAAAGUGGAAAUUAAGCAAAUCUACUUCGAAUCCCACCUUGUGUAUGUGUUGCUUCUUAACCUUAACUUUUUGUUCUGAAUUAAUGUCUGUCACCUAGUUUGAUUCCUAUUGCUGUGAUAAAAUGCCAUGAUCAAAAACAACUUGGGAAAGAAAGAAUUUAUUUGACUUACACUUCUUGGGUCACAGUACAUUGAGAGAAGCCAAGGCAGGAACUGUAGCAGGGGCAUGGAAGAAUGUUACUUCCUUUCUUGCUUGCUCAUAGCCUGCUGAGUCUGCUUUCUUAUAUAAUCUAGUACUACCUUCCCAGGGAGCACUACUUGAAGGGAGCUGGAAGCUGGAUCAUUAAUCAAGAAAAUCCCACAGACUUGCCUAUAGGCCAGUUUGAGGAGGCAAUUCCUCAAAAGAGAUUCAGUCUUCUCAUAUAUGUCUAGCUUUGUGCCAAGCUGACAAAACCCAGCCAGCACGAUUGAUUCAUUGUCAGCUUGAAGCACAAUAUCUCAACUUGUCCCCCAAAUUUCAUGUCAAUAUUAUUAUCAAAAUGAUGGGGGAAAUACUUCUGUGUAUGUUUAUAAAUAAAGUACUUGCUUGGCCAAUGAGACAGCAGGUUAGGCUGGACUAGGAGUCAAAGCGGAUUCUGGGAAACGUAGUAGAGAAGUGGUGAUCCAGGCAGGAAGUGACAUAGCAAGGAGACUCAUAUUUAAGAAGAGGAAAAAGGAAGUGUCGCUCUCUUUUCCCCUCGCCUCCUGUUCCAGCGGCAAGAUGUGAUUCACCAGCAAGGAGGGACCCCAAUAAGGCAUCCGAUAAGAUAAGUCUUAUAAAAUAUAUAGAUGUAUGGUAAUUGAGACUGAGCUAACAAAUGAGAAUCCUAGUCAUUGGCCAAGCAGCUUUGUAACUAAUACAAGUCUCUCUGUGUAUUCAUUUGGGCCUAACUCGGGCAGGCGGCUGGCAUAAAGCUCACACGUGGCGGUGGGGCUCAGGCGGCUUUUGGCAAAAAGAUUUAUCGUA
RNAcentral lists this long non-coding RNA (1530 nucleotides) under Cricetulus griseus (Chinese hamster). RNAcentral describes it as "lncRNA (ENSCGRG00015037494.1)". Lineage: Eukaryota; Metazoa; Chordata; Mammalia; Rodentia; Cricetidae. The record is from RNAcentral.